GACAGAGGGUGCGACCGUUGUUCGGAAUUACUGGGCGUAAAGCGCAUGUAGGCGGCAGCGCAAGUCGGGCGUGAAAUCCCACGGCUCAACCGUGGAAGUGCACUCGAAACUGCGCAGCUAGAGUCCUGGAGAGGAAGGUGGAAUGCUUGGUGUAGAGGUGAAAUUCGUAGAUAUCAAGCGGAACACCGGUGGCGAAGGCGGCCUUCUGGACAGUGACUGACGCUGAGAUGCGAAAGCGUGGGGAGCAAACAGG
RNAcentral lists this ribosomal RNA (253 nucleotides) under uncultured bacterium. Its description in RNAcentral is "partial 16S ribosomal RNA". It matches the Rfam family "Bacterial small subunit ribosomal RNA", at positions 524 to 776 of the family's 1533-position model. The record is from RNAcentral.